RNAcentral lists this ribosomal RNA (2893 nucleotides) under human oral metagenome. RNAcentral describes it as "bacterial LSU rRNA". It matches the Rfam family "Bacterial large subunit ribosomal RNA". The record is from RNAcentral.
AGGGCACACAAAGGAUGCCUAGGUAGUAAGAGCCGAUGAAGGACGUGGUAAGCUGCGAUAAGCCUAGAUAAGUUGCAAUCGAACGUAAGAGUCUAGGAUUUCCGAAUGGAGCAAUCUAUUAAGAUGGAGUCUUAAUACGAAAGAGGGAACCGCGUGAACUGAAACAUCUAAGUAACGCGAGGAAAAGAAAGUAAAAACGAUACCCAAAGUAGCGGCGAGCGAACUGGGUCAAGCCUAAACCUUAAAUAUGUCAAGGAUACAGCCGUUGUAUUUAAGGGGUUGAGGGACAAAGUAGUGAAGAACUGUAAGAUAUUCAAUAUAGUGUAUUGAUGAAUUAGAAUUGUAUGGAAAGAUAAACCGUAGAAGGUGAGAGUCCUGUAUAAGUAAAUCCUUACACAUAUAACUUGGCUCCCAAGUAGCAUGGAACACGAGGAAUUCUGUGUGAAUCAGUGAGGACCAUAUCUCAUAAGGCUAAAUACUCUUACUAACCGAUAGCGCAUAGUACCGUGAGGGAAAGGUGAAAAGAACCCCUGGAGGGGAGUGAAAUAGAACCUGAAAUUGUGUGCUUACAAGCGGUCAAAGCCCAUUUGGGUGAUGGCGUGCCUUUUGGAGAAUGAUCCUGCGAGUUACGUUAAACGGCGAGGUUAAGUAUAACGGAGCCGAAGGGAAACCAAGUCUUAAUAGGGCGAUAUAGUCGUUUGGCGUAGACGCGAAACCUGGUGAUCUAAACCUGUCCAGGAUGAAGCUGUGGUAAGACACAGUGGAGGUCCUAACCCACCGCCGUUGAAAAGUUGGGGGAUGAGGUAGGUUUAGGGGUGAAAAGCCAAUCGAACCAGGAGAUAGCUCGUUCUCUCCGAAAUGCAUCUAGGUGCAGCCUUGAGUGUUCAAUUAUGGGGGUAGAGCACUGAAUGAUCUAGGGGGCAUAUUGCUUACUGAAAUCAAUCAAACUCCGAAUACCAUAAUUUAUAGCUCAGGAGUGAGACUAUGGGAGUUAACUUCCAUUGUCAAAAGGGAAACAACCCAGACCACCAGCUAAGGUCCCUAAUUAUAACUAAGUGGGAAAGGAGGUGGAGAUUCACAAACAACUAGGAGGUUGGCUUAGAAGCAGCCAUACCUUUAAAGAGUGCGUAAUAGCUCACUAGUCGAGAGUCUCUGCGCCGACAAUGUAACGGGGCUAAGUUAUAAACCGAAGCUGUGGAAUCCUUAUGGAUUGGUAGGAGAGCGUUCUGUAGGCUGUUGAAGAAGAAGGGUAACCAACUUUGGAGGUAUCAGAAGUGAGAAUGCAGGAAUAAGUAGCGAGAAAGGGGGCGAGAAUCCCCCUCGCCGGAAGACCAAGGUUUUCAGGGUAAAGCUUGUCUUCCCUGAGUAAGCCGGGACCUAAGCCCAGGCUAUAAUGCGUAGGCGAAUGGAAAACAGAUUAAUAUUUCUGUGCCAGUCAUUUAUUGUGAUGGAGGGACGCAGAAGGGUAUGUGCGCGGACGAUCGGUUGUGUCCGUAGAAGUAUGUAGGAUGACUUAAUAGGAAAAUCCAUUAAGUUAUAUCUGAGGUAUGAUAUACAGUCGUAAGAUGAAUGCGCAAAUCCCACGCUGCCAAGAAAAGCUUCUAACGUUAAUAUUUGACUGCCCGUACUGCAAACCGACACAGGUGGUCAGGAUGAGAAAUCUAAGGCGGACAGGCUAACUCUCGUUAAGGAACUCUGCAAAAUAACCUCGUAACUUCGGGAGAAGAGGAGCCCUUGUGUGUGAGUAUACAUGCGAUACAAAGCGCACGAGGGUCGCAGUGAAGAGGCUCAAGCAACUGUUUAACAAAAACACAGGUCUAUGCUAAGCUGGAAGGCGAUGUAUAUGGGCUGACACCUGCCCAGUGCUGGAAGGUUAAGAGGAGGAGUGAGAGCUCCGAAUUGAAGCCCCAGUGAACGGCGGCCGUAACUAUAACGGUCCUAAGGUAGCGAAAUUCCUUGUCGGGUAAGUUCCGACCUGCACGAAUGGUGUAAUGAUUUGAGCGCUGUCUUGACGGGAGGCCUGGUGAAAUUGUAUUACCGGUGAAGAUACCGGUUACCUACAGUAGGACGGAAAGACCCCAUGGAGCUUUACUGUAGCUUGGUAUUGGGUUUUGGCAUUGCAUGUAUAGGAUAGUUGGGAGACUAUGAUGGUAUGGCGCUAGCUGUAUCGGAGUCAUCGGUGGAAUACCAACCAUUCAAUGCUGAAAUUCUAAUCUGUGGUUUGUAGCCACGGAGACAGUGCUAGGUGGGCAGUUUGACUGGGGCGGUCGCCUCCGAAAGAGUAACGGAGGCGUUCAAAGGUUCUCUCAGGUUGGAUGGAAAUCAACCAUAGAGUGCAAUGGCAUAAGAGAGCUUGACUGCAAGACUGACGGGUCGAGCAGAUGCGAAAGCAGGACAUAGUGAUCCGGCGAUUCCGAAUGGAAGGGUCGUCGCUCAACGGAUAAAAGCUACCCUGGGGAUAACAGGCUGAUCCUACCCGAGAGUCCAUAUCGACGGUAGGGUUUGGCACCUCGAUGUCGGCUCAUCGCAUCCUGGGGCUGGAGAAGGUCCCAAGGGUUGGGCUGUUCGCCCAUUAAAGCGGUACGUGAGCUGGGUUCAGAACGUCGUGAGACAGUUCGGUCCCUAUCCACUGUAGGCGUUAGAAUAUUGAGAAGACCUGUCCUUAGUACGAGAGGACCGGGAUGGACAAACCUCUGAUGUACCAGUUGUCACGCCAGUGGCACAGCUGGGUAGUCACGUUUGGAAUAGAUAACCGCUGAAAGCAUCUAAGCGGGAAACUAACUUCAAGAUAAGUAUUCUUUAAGAUACCUUCGAGCCUAGGAGGUUGAUAGGUUGGGGGUGUAAGUACAGCAAUGUAUUUAGCUGACCAAUACUAAUUAUCGAAGUUUUAAUC